AUGCCGUCGUGGAAGGAUGGAGAGCAGAGCAGCGAUGAGGAGGAGCUGCUCGGCAUGGAUCUGGAGCAGCACUGGACGAACCCUGGCACCACUAUAGAUGCAUCCUUCUGUGGUAGAGCUGCAGAUGCAAGCAUCACAUGUAGACUGCACUUGGCCCCAUGCAUGAAAUAUGUUGCAUUUGAAGGAAAGGACACUGAGAGGAGGUUCUAUGGAUGUGUUGUUCCUCAGGAUGGUAUUGACUGUGGAGUUGCUCAGUGGGUUGAUGCCCCAUGGCCUUCUAUUCUGCAAAGAUGUUUGGAGAAGAUAUGGGAGAUGUUUCAUGAGGAGAAUUGUGGCAGAGUGAUUGACCAUGAGAAGUAUAAGAAAGAGUUGGACAAGGUGAACAAGCAGUUGGAUACACUUGGGGUUCAGUACAGUUAG
Molecule: ribosomal RNA, 420 nt
Filed under: Triticum aestivum (bread wheat)
Lineage: Eukaryota; Viridiplantae; Streptophyta; Magnoliopsida; Poales; Poaceae
Description: partial small subunit ribosomal RNA
Source: RNAcentral